AUACGGAGGGCGCAAGCGUUGUGCGGAAUCAUUGGGCGUAAAGCGCGUGUAGGCGGCUUGGCAAGUCGGGUGUGAAAGCCCGGGGCUCAACCCCGGAAAUGCAUUCGAAACUGCCUGGCUAGAGUUCCGGAGAGGAAGGCAGAAUUCCCGGUGUAGAGGUGAAAUUCGUAGAUAUCGGGAGGAAUACCAGUGGCGAAGGCGGCCUUCUGGACGGCAACUGACGCUGAGACGCGAAAGCGUGGGGAGCAAACAGGAUUAGAAACCCCAGUAGUCC
RNAcentral lists this ribosomal RNA (274 nucleotides) under uncultured bacterium. Its description in RNAcentral is "partial 16S ribosomal RNA". It matches the Rfam family "Bacterial small subunit ribosomal RNA", at positions 523 to 796 of the family's 1533-position model. The record is from RNAcentral.